Molecule: transfer RNA, 92 nt
Filed under: Alphaproteobacteria bacterium
Lineage: Bacteria; Pseudomonadati; Pseudomonadota; Alphaproteobacteria
Description: tRNA-Ser
Rfam family: tRNA
About the family: Transfer RNA (tRNA) molecules are approximately 80 nucleotides in length. Their secondary structure includes four short double-helical elements and three loops (D, anti-codon, and T loops). Further hydrogen bonds mediate the characteristic L-shaped molecular structure. tRNAs have two regions of fundamental functional importance: the anti-codon, which is responsible for specific mRNA codon recognition, and the 3' end, to which the tRNAs corresponding amino acid is attached (by aminoacyl-tRNA synthetases). tRNAs cope with the degeneracy of the genetic code in two manners: having more than one tRNA (with a specific anti-codon) for a particular amino acid; and 'wobble' base-pairing, i.e. permitting non-standard base-pairing at the 3rd anti-codon position.
Source: RNAcentral
GGACAGGUGGCCGAGCGGUUGAAGGCGCCCGCCUGGAAAGUGGGUAGACGGUGUGAGCCGUCUCGCGGGUUCGAAUCCCGCCCUGUCCGCCA